AUGCCUCCAAACUGGCCGAGCAGCCAACUCCAGUCAGGACGCCGGCCCGCUUUUACCUCCUUCCUUCCCAUCGUUUUUGUUAUUAAACACUUAUGGAGACUCCCCCCAAAAAGGGAAUUUUUUAGAAUUACCAGAGCCAGUGGGCCUGUAAGUUUUCAGGAAAAAAAGUAUUGCUAUGAAGAGCAUCUACCAAAUUCAAUGCUUGAGACUGAACUCAGUGGCCUAUGGAUAUCUGAGGGGACCAGGACCUUGGAUUGAAGACAGAACACUGAACAAACCACUGAUCUUCAAUACUUUCUGAAGACAUAACUCUGGUGGGUGUGAUUUAAAUUUGGGUUAGGACAUGUUUCUUUGUUUUACUUGCUGUUCGGUAUGGCUGGAGUGUCAGAGGAGCUUGCUGACUAGCAGUCACUGCAGAAGCCCUGGAGAUCAGAUAUGGAAUUUGAGGACAUCUUUUUUUCUUUACUUAGCCCCCACCCCCCCCCACCCUUCUUUAAAGUUGCACUUUUCAGCUUUGUGGCUUGGUGAGAUCCCCACCCUCCUUGUCAGACUCCAAACUCUGAAUCCUAACCCCCCUCUUCCUGCUUAUUUGUAGCAUGUCUCACCCUCCCCAUCCUUUCCCUUUCCCAGUUUCACCAAACCCCUCCCAGCCCUCUCCGCCCUCCCCCAAAUCUGCAUGGCUGUGAGGAUGGGACAUGACAAGGAUUAACCCUACUUGCUGUCUCCGUCUCCUUGCUGCUUUGUGAGAUUGGGAGGGAAUCA
RNAcentral lists this long non-coding RNA (762 nucleotides) under Ornithorhynchus anatinus (platypus). Its description in RNAcentral is "lncRNA (ENSOANG00000047734.1)". The record is from RNAcentral. Lineage: Eukaryota; Metazoa; Chordata; Mammalia; Monotremata; Ornithorhynchidae.